UACGUAGGGACCAAGCGUUGUUCGGAUUUACUGGGCGUAAAGGGCGCGUAGGCGGCUUGACAAGUCACUUGUGAAAUCUCCGGGCUUAACUCGGAAUGGCCAAGUGAAACUGUCAUGCUAGAGUGCAGAAGGGGCAAUCGGAAUUCUUGGUGUAGCGGUGAAAUGCGUAGAUAUCAAGAGGAACACCUGAGGUGAAGACGGGUUGCUGGGCUGACACUGACGCUGAGGCGCGAAAGCGUGGGGAGCAAACAGG
RNAcentral lists this ribosomal RNA (253 nucleotides) under uncultured bacterium. RNAcentral's name for it is "partial 16S ribosomal RNA". It matches the Rfam family "Bacterial small subunit ribosomal RNA", at positions 524 to 776 of the family's 1533-position model. The record is from RNAcentral.